CCUACGGGUGGCAGCAGUGGGGAAUAUUGGGCAAUGGGCGCAAGCCUGACCCAGCAACGCCGCGUGAAGGAUGAAGGUUUUAGGAUUGUAAACUUCUGUCGCGAGGGACGAAGAAUGACGGUACCUCGUAAGAAAGCCCCGGCUAACUACUGGCCAGCAGCCGCGGUAAUACGUAGGGGGCCAGCGUUGUCCGGAAUGACUGGGCGUAAAGGGAGUGUAGGCGGGUUUGUAAGUUAGAUGUGAAAUCCUAGGGCUUAACCUUAGAACUGCAGCUCAAACUGUGAGGCUGGAGUGCAGGAGAGGAGAGUGGAAUGCGUAGUGUAGCGGUGGAAUGCGUAGAUAUUAGGAAGAACACCGAGUGCGAAGGCGACUCACUGGACUGUAACUGACGCUGAGGCACGAAAGCGUGGGGAGCGAACAGGAUUAGAUACCCGUGUAGUC
Molecule: ribosomal RNA, 441 nt
Filed under: uncultured bacterium
Lineage: Bacteria
Description: partial 16S ribosomal RNA
Rfam family: Bacterial small subunit ribosomal RNA
Source: RNAcentral